GAAUCAACUCACGCACUUUUGCGUGGUCGUGGAGGAAGAGUCCGUCUUGCUGCGGUCUCCCCCCGAAAAUCAACGGCGGAAAGUCACUGGCGCCUGGCGUAGUAGUAUUGUUCGCCGUUCAACCAGUGUCGUUCCUGCCGGCAAACCCCCCACAGUUCUCUU
This 162-nucleotide unclassified non-coding RNA is filed under the name uncultured Geopora. RNAcentral describes it as "sequence contains ITS2". The record is from RNAcentral. Lineage: Eukaryota; Fungi; Ascomycota; Pezizomycetes; Pezizales; Pyronemataceae.